UACAGAGGGGGCGAGCGUUGUUCGGAAUUACUGGGCGUAAAGGGCGCGUAGGCGGCCUUCUAAGUCGAACGUGAAAUCCCCGGGCUCAACCCGGGAACUGCGUCCGAUACUGGAAGGCUUGAAUCCGGGAGAGGGAUGCGGAAUUCCAGGUGUAGCGGUGAAAUGCGUAGAUAUCUGGAGGAACACCGGUGGCGAAGGCGGCAUCCUGGACCGGUAUUGACGCUGAGGCGCGAAAGCCAGGGGAGCAAACGGG
This 253-nucleotide ribosomal RNA is filed under the name uncultured bacterium. RNAcentral describes it as "partial 16S ribosomal RNA". It matches the Rfam family "Bacterial small subunit ribosomal RNA", at positions 524 to 776 of the family's 1533-position model. The record is from RNAcentral.